RNAcentral lists this ribosomal RNA (498 nucleotides) under Lactococcus lactis subsp. lactis. RNAcentral's name for it is "partial 16S ribosomal RNA". It matches the Rfam family "Bacterial small subunit ribosomal RNA", at positions 361 to 851 of the family's 1533-position model. Lineage: Bacteria; Bacillati; Bacillota; Bacilli; Lactobacillales; Streptococcaceae. The record is from RNAcentral.
AUGUUCGGCAAUGGACGAAAGUCUGACCGAGCAACGCCGCGUGAGUNNAGAAGGUUUUCGGAUCGUAAAACUCUGUUGGUAGAGAAGAACGUUGGUGAGAGUGGAAAGCUCAUCAAGUGNCGGNAACUACCCAGAAAGGGACGGCUAACUACGUGCCAGCAGCCGCGGUNNUACGUAGGUCCCGAGCGUUGUCCGGAUUUAUUGGGCGUAAAGCGAGCGCAGGUGGUUUAUNNAGUCUGGUGUAAAAGGCAGUGGCUCAACCAUUGUAUGCAUUGGAAACUGGUAGACUUGAGUGCAGGAGAGGAGAGUGGAAUUCCAUGUGUAGCGGUGAAAUGCGUAGAUAUAUGGAGGAACACCGGUGGCGAAAGCGGCUCUCUGGCCUGUAACUGNNNCUNAGGCUCGAAAGCGUGGGGAGCAAACAGGAUUAGAUACCCUGGUAGUCCACGCCGUAAACGNNNAGUGCUAGAUGUAGGGAGCUAUAAGUUCUCUGUAUCGUAG